UCGAAGAAUUUGAAUUAGGUUCGUGAAUUGAAAAAAAGAGUUAAAAAAAAGUUGUAUUUGUCUUCAUUUGUAUUCAGCAUAUUGUAUUGGAAAAGUAAAAAAAUAGAAUUACGAAAAUUCAAAAAAAAUACGAAGUUAUAAAAAAAGUGAAGUGUUGAAAAAAAAAUCCAAGUUUAUUAAUCUUUUGAAUUUCGAACAAGUGAGUUCUUCUUCUUCUUAUCUACUUCCCCAAUGCCACACUUAGCCUUGAUUUUAUUUCGUUUCAGCCUACCCUACACCAUUUCAUAAGUCCCUUUGUUACCCAUUUUUCAAACCGAC
This 318-nucleotide long non-coding RNA is filed under the name Gossypium raimondii (Peruvian cotton). Its description in RNAcentral is "long non-coding RNA (GRAI_LNC010476)". The record is from RNAcentral. Lineage: Eukaryota; Viridiplantae; Streptophyta; Magnoliopsida; Malvales; Malvaceae.